Molecule: long non-coding RNA, 1600 nt
Filed under: Mus musculus (house mouse)
Lineage: Eukaryota; Metazoa; Chordata; Mammalia; Rodentia; Muridae
Description: predicted gene 45397
Source: RNAcentral
CGAAGCUGGCUGCAGGAUGGGAGAAGAGAAACAUGCAGACCAAGUCCUGGUCCUGCGUACAAAGAUGAACACCGGGAGAAGGAACAGCAGAGCCUAGCAAGAGAAUGCAGCCCAGGCUUCAGGAAGAUAUGUUCCCCAAGGGCAACAGCCUCAGUGAGCAGUGAGUGAGCACUGGAGCAGAGAGCAGCCCAGGUCCAUCUUGUGUAUGUGGUGGCAUCAUUAUUCUUGUCCAGACUCCAGAAAACUGACAACUCAUCAUCAGCUGAGAGGGGCCUCACUUGCAGGGCCAGCCCAAGGGGAAAGCAACUGUGCAGGACCAACCUUGAAACCAACAAGAAAAACAGCAAAGAGCUACUGGGAGUUGGCCCAUUGUGGAUUCAGGCUCAAUGCUAACACCACACUUCAUCUUGUCUGUCUUUCAUAGUAAUACAGAGACAGUAUUAUUACUACCCAAUUUCUCAAAUGAGCACACUGAGACUCCAGGAGGUCAUGGGACUAACUUAAGGCCUAGGUGUUGUCACUAAGGAGAGCCAGGCUCCACUCCCAGCUCUAUGGGCCCAUGGUGCCUGAGGUCCAUUAUGUAUGACUCUGGGGCCCGAGCCAUGGCUCUCCUUCAACUGUCCACUCUCUUAUGCAAAGAUGGAAAUCAAGAGUAUGAAGAACACAAAUGUUGGCACUCCUAUUGUGCAAAUCAAUGAGGACAACUCAUCAGCCCCUGGACUUCAAACUGCCUGGUCUUCAGGAGGUAUAUAACCAGCCACCAAUUCAAGGAUCUCUCUCCUUCACGGGUCCAUCUUGUGUAUGUGGUGGCAUCUAAUACCUUUUACAUUGACUCAUCCUGUCCACCCUCCAGUGUCCCCAAGAAGUCCCCAUGAUCACACUCCUGCAUCUUAGCAUGCAACCUCCAAGCGCAGUCCUGGCAACAGUAGGACUAAAAUGAGAAACACAUCAGAGGUGCACUGAGACCCACAAAUCUAUGAAUGACUACCCUGGGGAGGGGGCUGGGAAUCAAUAAUAAAGUGUUCCCCAAACAGUAACCAUGGCAACUCUGGUCACAAGAGGGGUUUUAUGCCUUCUCCAAGUUUUAUGAGGCACACACAGCUCUUUUAUAGACUCAGGCAUUAAUUAUGCUCAUCAGAGGAUGGAGUAUUCCAGUGUAGCGAAGGUUAUUCACCCGCAGGCUUGCUCAGCCCAUAUACAUUACCCAUAAAACUUCAAAGAAGUAAUUAGAAUGGAUCCCCUCUUGGCUUGCUUUAUUAUUUGAUAGUUGAUGAGGUAAGAUACUAAGGUCAUAACGUGAGCUUAAGCGAUGGAAAAGAACAGGAACCUGAGGUCUGAGCAGAGCAUCAGUGUGAAGCAGUGGUGUGUGAAGUUCCACAGAUACAACACGGAAGGAUGAGAAGUAUUUGUCCUUAAGUCUCAAAAUCUAAAGCAGGUGAUAAUGCAAACUCAGGCUAAAUGUCUGCCUUUCUAUGUAACUUUAAUGGGUGCCAUUUGUUCUGAAAUGAUGUCACUGUUGGAUGUUCCUGGUCCCUUGGUAUGUUACCUUCAUACAGUAUUUUCCCUGGCUUCAAAAUAAAGCCGGUGAGCUGUCUCGGUU